Molecule: long non-coding RNA, 345 nt
Filed under: Homo sapiens (human)
Lineage: Eukaryota; Metazoa; Chordata; Mammalia; Primates; Hominidae
Description: non-protein coding lnc-POLA1-4:1
Source: RNAcentral
AGCCAAGUCUGUUCCUGCUCCAAAGAAGGGUGCCAAGAAGGUGGUGUGACCAAGAGCCAGAAGGAUGGCAAGAAUCACAAGCAUAGCCACAAGGAAAGCUACUCUAUCUACAUUUACAAGGUAUUGAAGCAGGUCCAUCUCAACUCUGGCAUCUCAUCGAAGGCCAUGGGCAUCAUGAACUCAUUUGUCAAUAUCUUCAAGUGCAUCAUUCCUGAUGCAUUACAAGUACUCGACGAUCACCUCCAGGGAGAUCCAUACAGCUUGUGCCUGCUGCCUAGGGAGAUGGCCAAUCACACUGUGUCUCACAACACCAAGGCCCUCACCAAGUACACCAGCUCCAAGUGA